Molecule: ribosomal RNA, 664 nt
Filed under: uncultured Pseudoalteromonas sp.
Lineage: Bacteria; Pseudomonadati; Pseudomonadota; Gammaproteobacteria; Alteromonadales; Pseudoalteromonadaceae
Description: bacterial SSU rRNA
Rfam family: Bacterial small subunit ribosomal RNA
Source: RNAcentral
AGUCGAGCGGUAACAGAGAGUAGCUUGCUACUUUGCUGACGAGCGGCGGACGGGUGAGUAAUGCUUGGGAACAUGCCUUGAGGUGGGGGACAACAGUUGGAAACGACUGCUAAUACCGCAUAAUGUCUACGGACCAAAGGGGGCUUCGGCUCUCGCCUUUAGAUUGGCCCAAGUGGGAUUAGCUAGUUGGUGAGGUAAUGGCUCACCAAGGCGACGAUCCCUAGCUGGUUUGAGAGGAUGAUCAGCCACACUGGGACUGAGACACGGCCCAGACUCCUACGGGAGGCAGCAGUGGGGAAUAUUGCACAAUGGGCGCAAGCCUGAUGCAGCCAUGCCGCGUGUGUGAAGAAGGCCUUCGGGUUGUAAAGCACUUUCAGUCAGGAGGAAAGGUUAGUAGUUAAUACCUGCUAGCUGUGACGUUACUGACAGAAGAAGCACCGGCUAACUCCGUGCCAGCAGCCGCGGUAAUACGGAGGGUGCGAGCGUUAAUCGGAAUUACUGGGCGUAAAGCGUACGCAGGCGGUUUGUUAAGCGAGAUGUGAAAGCCCCGGGCUCAACCUGGGAACUGCAUUUCGAACUGGCAAACUAGAGUGUGAUAGAGGGUGGUAGAAUUUCAGGUGUAGCGGUGAAAUGCGUAGAGAUCUGAAGGAACAUCAGUGGCGAA